GAGAGUUUGAUCCUGGCUCAGAUUGAACGCUGGCGGCAGGCCUAACACAUGCAAGUCGAGCGGAUGAAGGGAGCUUGCUCCUGGAUUCAGCGGCGGACGGGUGAGUAAUGCCUAGGAAUCUGCCUGGUAGUGGGGGAUAACGUCCGGAAACGGGCGCUAAUACCGCAUACGUCCUGAGGGAGAAAGUGGGGGAUCUUCGGACCUCACGCUAUCAGAUGAGCCUAGGUCGGAUUAGCUAGUUGGUGGGGUAAAGGCCUACCAAGGCGACGAUCCGUAACUGGUCUGAGAGGAUGAUCAGUCACACUGGAACUGAGACACGGUCCAGACUCCUACGGGAGGCAGCAGUGGGGAAUAUUGGACAAUGGGCGAAAGCCUGAUCCAGCCAUGCCGCGUGUGUGAAGAAGGUCUUCGGAUUGUAAAGCACUUUAAGUUGGGAGGAAGGGCAGUAAGUUAAUACCUUGCUGUUUUGACGUUACCAACAGAAUAAGCACCGGCUAACUUCGUGCCAGCAGCCGCGGUAAUACGAAGGGUGCAAGCGUUAAUCGGAAUUACUGGGCGUAAAGCGCGCGUAGGUGGUUCAGCAAGUUGGAUGUGAAAUCCCCGGGCUCAACCUGGGAACUGCAUCCAAAACUACUGAGCUAGAGUACGGUAGAGGGUGGUGGAAUUUCCUGUGUAGCGGUGAAAUGCGUAGAUAUAGGAAGGAACACCA
This 709-nucleotide ribosomal RNA is filed under the name uncultured bacterium. Its description in RNAcentral is "bacterial SSU rRNA". It matches the Rfam family "Bacterial small subunit ribosomal RNA", at positions 8 to 711 of the family's 1533-position model. The record is from RNAcentral.